CUUAGCAGAGAUGCUUUGGUGCCUUCGGGAACUCUGAGACAGGUGCUGCAUGGCUGUCGUCAGCUCGUGUUGUGAAAUGUUGGGUUAAGUCCCGCAACGAGCGCAACCCCUAUCCUUUGUUGCCAGCGAUUCGGUCGGGAACUCAAAGGAGACUGCCGGUGAUAAACCGGAGGAAGGUGGGAUGACGUCAAGUCAUCAUGGCCCUUACGAGUAGGGCUACACACGUGCUACAAUGGCGCAUACAAAGAGAAGCGACCUCGCGAGAGCAAGCGGACCUCAUAAAGUGCGUCGUAGUCCGGAUUGGAGUCUGCAACUCGACUCCAUGAAGUCGGAAUCGCUAGUAAUCGUAGAUCAGAAUGCUACGGUGAAUACGUUCCCGGGCCUUGUACACACCGCCCGUCACACCAUGGGAGUGGGUUGCAAAAGAAGUAGAUAGCUUAACCUUCGGGAGGGCGUUUACCACUUUGUGAUUCAUGACUGGGGUGAAGUCGUAACAAGGUAGGCGUAGCGAG
This 512-nucleotide ribosomal RNA is filed under the name uncultured bacterium. RNAcentral describes it as "bacterial SSU rRNA". It matches the Rfam family "Bacterial small subunit ribosomal RNA", at positions 996 to 1509 of the family's 1533-position model. The record is from RNAcentral.